Nematostella vectensis (starlet sea anemone) is the source of this 798-nucleotide long non-coding RNA. RefSeq lists it as uncharacterized. The transcript has 2 exons. The record is from RefSeq and is a predicted model, not a curated record. NCBI's taxonomy places the organism in Eukaryota, Metazoa, Cnidaria, Anthozoa, Actiniaria, Edwardsiidae.
CUAUGCGACUUGGUUUUGGUGGUCAUCGCGCGGGUACCCUGUGUGUCACAAUCCAUCCAGUCAAUCGUGCAACUACCAGGCCCCACUCGAUCUUACGCUGUUGUGUGUUUUUUACCGCCUCGCUUUGUGCUGCAAAGUUCGUAUGUUCACAGAAGAAAGGCAGCUUGAAAAUAGUAUUUAAUGAGAAAAUAAGCGGAUUCAAAUGGGCUGAAGUUUUUGAGAAAACAUUUGUCUGAAGUACGAGCCGAUGGAAAUUCCCGCCUUUGCAGCAGCAGCAGCUAAAAAGAAGACUAAGAGGAGAGGCUCUACGCUACCAUUCUAUAUUCAUUCACGUCUAUAUCUAUGUAAGGUGAUCCUGAGAGGAAAAGGCCUUGGAUUGAUGUCUGUUUUCAGCUAUAAAAAUCAUUCACUUGUGUUGACGGGUUCCUAGCAGAAAGAUCACGGUUUACAACACAAAGCGAACACAACCACUAGGCGACAAACAUAAAGCGACAAAAAAAACACUGCCAAGGUUAAACCAACCCAGGACUACCUGAGGGUCGUGCUUGAUGCUAAGGGCUGGAAGACAUAAGAAUAGGCAAAUGUAGCCGGGCUUUCUUACUUUGAUACAGCAGUAUAAGUGUAAUAGGGUUUUUAGAGCAAGAUACUUUGUGUCAAUGAUACUGUAAAUCUGUAAAACAUUUUUAUCAACCUGAAGAUAAUGAGGAAAGGGGAAAUGAUAGGAGAGUGCUCAAUCAAGUUGUUGCAAUACUGUUAAAGUUUUUAUCAAAAAUAUAGUCCCAGUUUCUUUUUUCUCUC